UACAGAGGUCCCGAGCGUUGUUCGGAUUCACUGGGCGUAAAGAGCUCGUAGGCGGCCUGUCGCGUCGACCGUGAAAACCCGCAGCUCAACUGCGGGCUUGCGGUCGAUACGGGCAGGCUGGAGUUCGGUAGGGGAGACUGGAAUUCCUGGUGUAGCGGUGAAAUGCGCAGAUAUCAGGAGGAACACCGGUGGCGAAGGCGGGUCUCUGGGCCGAUACUGACGCUGAGGAGCGAAAGCGUGGGGAGCGAACAGG
This 253-nucleotide ribosomal RNA is filed under the name uncultured bacterium. Its description in RNAcentral is "partial 16S ribosomal RNA". It matches the Rfam family "Bacterial small subunit ribosomal RNA", at positions 524 to 776 of the family's 1533-position model. The record is from RNAcentral.